Ascochyta rabiei is the source of this 105-nucleotide transfer RNA. It matches the Rfam family "tRNA". From Rfam's summary of the family: Transfer RNA (tRNA) molecules are approximately 80 nucleotides in length. Their secondary structure includes four short double-helical elements and three loops (D, anti-codon, and T loops). NCBI's taxonomy places the organism in Eukaryota, Fungi, Ascomycota, Dothideomycetes, Pleosporales, Didymellaceae. The record is from Rfam.
AUUCCUGUGGCGCAGUGGUAGCGCGCCGUUCUUAUAAGAUUCGUCAGACUCUUAUGACUCAUCUGGGUUAUGCGGAUGCCGUGGGUUCGAUCCCCACCAGGUACG